GGGAAUCUUGCACAAUGGGGGCAACCCUGAUGCAGCGACGCCGCGUGAGCGAUGAAGCCCUUCGGGGCGUAAAGCUCUUUCGACUGGAACGAUAAUGACGGUACCGGGAGAAGAAGCUGCGGCUAACUACGUGCCAGCAGCCGCGGUAAUACGUAGGCAGCAAGUGUUGUUCGGAGUUACUGGGCGUAAAGAGUGCGUAGGCGGUUUUCUAAGUUCGGUGUGAAAUCUCCCGGCUUAACUGGGAGGGU
RNAcentral lists this ribosomal RNA (248 nucleotides) under uncultured bacterium. RNAcentral describes it as "partial 16S ribosomal RNA". It matches the Rfam family "Bacterial small subunit ribosomal RNA", at positions 357 to 622 of the family's 1533-position model. The record is from RNAcentral.